RNAcentral lists this ribosomal RNA (223 nucleotides) under uncultured bacterium. RNAcentral describes it as "partial 16S ribosomal RNA". It matches the Rfam family "Bacterial small subunit ribosomal RNA", at positions 111 to 334 of the family's 1533-position model. The record is from RNAcentral.
UAACGCGUGAGGAACCUGCCUUUCAGAGGGGGACAACAGUUGGAAACGACUGCUAAUACCGCAUGAUACAUUUGGGUGGCAUCAUCUGAAUGUCAAAGAUUUAUCGCUGAAAGAUGGCCUCGCGUCUGAUUAGCUGGUUGGUGAGGUAACGGCCCACCAAGGCGACGAUCAGUAGCCGGACUGAGAGGUUGACCGGCCACAUUGGGACUGAGACACGGCCCAA